CUACCUCAAGAGGUUUCAAGCAGGCAUCAGUUCUGAAGAGCCUUCCAUGAUCUUCAUUUCCUGCCUGUCCUGGGUUUCUGGGCUGUGGCUUGGGCCCUAUAGCUGUCCUUUGGUGAAGAAUAAAAGACGGACCGACUGCUACCCAUCGCUAAGAGAGUCCUGGGUCCUCAGCUUUCAUUGUUCAGUCAGGAGGCUUCGUGGGCGACCCUGCAGGGCCCCUCUUGCUGGAAACCCUCCGAGCUUCCUGAUUUCCAAUCCUGUAAAAACCUCCUCCCCCAUCACUACCUUUGUCUCUUUGGGGGGUGGAGAGUGGGGGAAAAAAACCUUUUUCACUUGAGCAAAAUAAAAACUACCCAGUAUUUGUUUCUGGAGUGUAAUUAUAAACUUCAUUGUACAUUCUUCCU
This 404-nucleotide long non-coding RNA is filed under the name Capra hircus (goat). RNAcentral describes it as "lncRNA (ENSCHIG00000004155.1)". The record is from RNAcentral. Lineage: Eukaryota; Metazoa; Chordata; Mammalia; Artiodactyla; Bovidae.